RNAcentral lists this ribosomal RNA (449 nucleotides) under uncultured bacterium. RNAcentral's name for it is "bacterial SSU rRNA". It matches the Rfam family "Bacterial small subunit ribosomal RNA", at positions 355 to 796 of the family's 1533-position model. The record is from RNAcentral.
UGGGGAAUAUUGGACAAUGGGGGCAACCCUGAUCCAGCGAUGCCGCGUGUGCGAAGAAGGCCUGCGGGUUGUAAAGCACUUUGGGUGGGGAAGAAAGCCGUAAUGUGAAUAAGGUUACGGGUUGACGUUACCUACAGAACAAGCACCGGCCAACUCUGUGCCAGCAGCCGCGGUAAUACAGAGGGUGCGAGCGUUAAUCGGAAUUACUGGGCGUAAAGGGCGCGUAGGCGGUUAUGUAAGUUAGAUGUGAAAUCCCUGGGCUUAACCUGGGAACUGCAUUUAAGACUGCAUGACUGGAGUAGAGUAGAGGGAAGUGGAAUUUCCGGUGUAGCGGUGAAAUGCGUAGAUAUCGGAAAGAACACCGGUGGCGAAGGCGGCUUCCUGGACUCAUACUGACGCUGAGGCGCGAAAGCAUGGGGAGCAAACAGGAUUAGAUACCCCCGUAGUCC